RNAcentral lists this unclassified non-coding RNA (299 nucleotides) under plant metagenome. RNAcentral's name for it is "partial contains 5.8S ribosomal RNA, internal transcribed spacer 2, and large subunit ribosomal RNA". The stretch from base 1 to 105 matches the Rfam family "5.8S ribosomal RNA", at positions 50 to 154 of the family's 154-position model. The record is from RNAcentral.
GAAAUGCGAUAAGUAAUGUGAAUUGCAGAAUUCAGUGAAUCAUCGAAUCUUUGAACGCACAUUGCGCUCGCCAGUAUUCUGGCGAGCAUGCCUGUUCGAGCGUCAUUUCAACCAUCAAGCUCUGCUUGCGUUGGGGAUCCGCGGCUGCCCGCGGUCCCUCAAAAACAGUGGCGGGCUCGCUAGUCACACCGAGCGUAGUUACUCUACAUCGCUAUGGUCGUGCGGCGGGUUCUUGCCGUAAAACCCCCAAUUUCUAAGGUUGACCUCGGAUCAGGUAGGAAUACCCGCUGAACUUAAGC